RNAcentral lists this ribosomal RNA (492 nucleotides) under uncultured bacterium. RNAcentral's name for it is "partial 16S ribosomal RNA". It matches the Rfam family "Bacterial small subunit ribosomal RNA", at positions 29 to 507 of the family's 1533-position model. The record is from RNAcentral.
AGUGAACGCUGGCGGUAGGCCUAACACAUGCAAGUCGAACGGCAGCACAGUAAGAGCUUGCUCUUACGGGUGGCGAGUGGCGGACGGGUGAGGAAUACAUCGGAAUCUACUUUUUCGUGGGGGAUAACGUAGGGAAACUUACGCUAAUACCGCAUACGACCUACGGGUGAAAGCAGGUGAUCUUCUGACCUUGCGCGAUUGAAUGAGCCGAUGUCGGAUUAGCUAGUUGGUGGUGUAAAGGCACACCAAGGCGACGAUCCGUAGCUGGUCUGAGAGGAUGAUCAGCCCCACUGGAACUGAGACACCGUCCAGACUCCUACGGGAGCCAGCAGUGUGGAAUAUUCGACAAUAGGCGCAAGACUGAUCCAGCCAUACCGCGUGGGUGAAGCAGGCCUUCGGGUUGUAAAGCCCUUUUGUUGGGAAAGAAAAGCAGCAGGUUAAUACCCCGCUGUUCUGACGGUACCCAACGAAUAAGCACCGGCUAACUUCGUG